CCGACCUGCAUUUUUCAAGGAAACGUUUACAAAUAAUUUCUAAUACUACAGGGAUAAGCCAUCAAUGCACUAAAUAUUAAUAAAACUCUGCACAUACAAUGAAUUUUCCAAUGAAGAGAAAUUUUAAUGGGUGUGCUAAUGUACCAAAGAUAACUGAAAUACUGUACUGUAUAGGUAAAAUUAAUUACCAAAUCAUAUGAAUUUUCUAAAUCAAUUAAUGGUGUUCAAUGGACCUCUUCUUCUAUUCUAGUAUUUUCUUAAUUUAUUAAUAUAACAAUCAGUUCAUUUUUAAGUGACUGACAUUUGGUUUCAUUCACAGAUGCAGUAAUAAGAUGGUAAUCAAACACCCACUUCAUACUUAAUGGAUUUGUAUUUGCCAGCCUUCUACCAUAUCGAUGCAUUUGGUGCAAGUUACAAGCAAACAGUGAUAACAUACAUAAUCAAUUCAUAGUCAAGUUCAGAUAGUGAUGAAUGUCCGAAGACGUCAAGAAGGGAGGUGGAUGGAGGAUGGCUUCCCAAGAUAAACAAACCUCUCCUUCCAGUAUCUCUUUAGACAACUUCAUGCCAGAAACUAUCUUUUAGUUCAAGCUUCAAGUAUGUAGUUUGUCGUAGAUUUUAAUCUCCAUAUCAAGUUAAUAUUAAAUAAAGACAAUAUCAGUGUGGAAAACUAAUAUAUGUACAUUAUUUAUAUAUUAGGGUACACCAUAAAGAUAUCUAUGACAAAUUGAACUGCUGUAAUUGCAAUGUGUUACGCCCUUCGUGCUCUUAAAUAUUAGCCUUAUAAAGUCUCUUAUUUUGUAUAGCAUCCAUUAAUUAUCUUACUACAAAAUGUACUAAAAAAACCAGGUUAUAUUUUCUAAACAAAAACAAUAAACAAAAGCACCAGAUC
Molecule: long non-coding RNA, 889 nt
Organism: Homarus americanus (American lobster)
Lineage: Eukaryota; Metazoa; Arthropoda; Malacostraca; Decapoda; Nephropidae
Exons: 2
Source: RefSeq, a predicted model, not a curated record